AUCAAUUUCUAGCCUUCGAUUUUGACGAAACCGUGGAUAUCACCAAGGAGAAUUGUCGCCUUUUGCUGAUACGUUUAAAGAUGGAAGGCUGGGCCAUUGGAAAAACCAAAGUAUUUCUACGCUAUUAUAAUGAUGAGUUCUUGGCCAGAUUAUAUGAAGUCCAAGUAAAAAAGGUUAUUAAGGUACAAUCAAUGAUGCGAGCUUUACUGGCACGCAAGCGCAUGAAAGGGGGCAAGGA
Molecule: long non-coding RNA, 238 nt
Organism: Rhagoletis pomonella (apple maggot)
Lineage: Eukaryota; Metazoa; Arthropoda; Insecta; Diptera; Tephritidae
Exons: 2
Source: RefSeq, a predicted model, not a curated record